UGGGUUGUGGUUCAGUGGUAGAGCGCUCGCCUCGCAAGCAGGACCCCUGGGUUCGAUCCUCAGCACCAG
This 69-nucleotide transfer RNA is filed under the name Ictidomys tridecemlineatus (thirteen-lined ground squirrel). Its description in RNAcentral is "Spermophilus tridecemlineatus (thirteen-lined ground squirrel) tRNA". It matches the Rfam family "tRNA". Rfam says of the family: Transfer RNA (tRNA) molecules are approximately 80 nucleotides in length. Their secondary structure includes four short double-helical elements and three loops (D, anti-codon, and T loops). Further hydrogen bonds mediate the characteristic L-shaped molecular structure. tRNAs have two regions of fundamental functional importance: the anti-codon, which is responsible for specific mRNA codon recognition, and the 3' end, to which the tRNAs corresponding amino acid is attached (by aminoacyl-tRNA synthetases). tRNAs cope with the degeneracy of the genetic code in two manners: having more than one tRNA (with a specific anti-codon) for a particular amino acid; and 'wobble' base-pairing, i.e. permitting non-standard base-pairing at the 3rd anti-codon position. The record is from Rfam by way of RNAcentral. Lineage: Eukaryota; Metazoa; Chordata; Mammalia; Rodentia; Sciuridae.